GAGAGAUGACAUUAGCAGAUUUAUUAGAAGAGAUAAAAAAUAAAAAUAAAUAAGCCCAUUAGUUGUUAAGAAUCUGUGGGGAUCAAGAAACCAGAUUUAUGGAAAAUCUUAUUUCUUUAACUGCUUGGAUGCCUGCUAGCUCUACUAUUUGGCAAAAGAGAAAAAAAGUGAUUGACACUUGAGAAUCGCAAGAUCAUUGAGCACCAAGUUCAAAGGCAUAUUCCUCCUCUGUACUCAAUUUUUUUAGCAACCAACCAGACAUUCAGCAACUGUACAGUAUAUCGCUUAGAAAUAAAAUUUGAGCCUUUGAUUCUAUCAAAUCCCAAAAAAAGAAAAUGCCAACCUCCAUAAACAUCAUCUGCUUGG
Molecule: unclassified non-coding RNA, 366 nt
Filed under: Hevea brasiliensis (rubber tree)
Lineage: Eukaryota; Viridiplantae; Streptophyta; Magnoliopsida; Malpighiales; Euphorbiaceae
Source: RNAcentral